Molecule: long non-coding RNA, 7056 nt
Filed under: Setaria viridis
Lineage: Eukaryota; Viridiplantae; Streptophyta; Magnoliopsida; Poales; Poaceae
Description: long non-coding RNA (SVIR_LNC008950)
Source: RNAcentral
GCAUGUAUUCUAGAUGUGGAUUGACCUACUUAGGGGCUAUCAAACGCUACGCCGUAACAGGGUAGUUAUAAAGGUAGCUUUCGGGUUUGUCAAGAAGCAUGCUAUGAGACAUGGUCAAUCAAGAUGGGAUUUGCCCCUCUCUGAUUGAGAGUGAUAUCUCUGGGCCCCUCGAGUGAUCGGAUCGGAAAAUGCAUGGCCAUGCUACGUACGGUUAAGAGUUAACCUACAAAGGGAUUCCGAAUCACAGGAUCGAGAAAGAGCGGUCGGCUUGAAGCUAGACCAAAUAUCGUGAGGCAAAGGGAAUAGCAUGUAUAUUAUGUUGUGAUGGUUCGUCUGAUAUGAUCUUCGUAUGCGUAUAGGAGUUGGCACGUCUUGCUAGAGGCCGCUACCGACUAUUGGGCCGAGUAGGAGUACUCGGGCCAUGUCUAUACGUAUCCGAACCCAUAGGGUCACACACUUAAGGGGCUGGAAGCCCAAUUCGGAUCUGAUCCGAGUUGGAUUAGGUUUAGGAGUACUAAUGGGCCUCGGAUCCAGAGGCCCAUCAGGAACCCCUAUAAAUAGAGGGGUGGGGGCGCCCUAGGGUUUCACACCUUUUGGCUGAACACACUUGCCGCGCCUCUCACGCCCUCGCCUGUUGCAACUCGCGGAUCUAGCAAUCCGGCUUGCGACGCUUCCUCCCUGCACGUGUGGAUACCUUGGAGGUGUUGCGCCUGCAGCACUUGGACGAGCCAUCGACGAGCCGCCAACGAGCCACGACGAGCCGACGACGAGCCGCGGCACCGGAGGCGAUCUUGCUGUGCACGUGGACGAGCUGCUGAGGAGCUGCUGGACGUGAUCGACUACGUACGACUACGUUGUUCGACUACGUACGACUACGUGAUCGUCUUCACUGCACCGACGCAUAUCUACAUCUUCCGCACCAGUAGUGCGUCGAGUGGUAAUCCCGUGAUCCUUAUACGGCAGUUCUUCCUGGUUAUACGCGGUAGAAAUUUUGAUUUACGCUAGCGUAGCCUACCUCGUAUCCCAACAGUGGUAUCAGAGCCGUAGCUGCUUAGUUUUGGAUUCGAGAUGUGUGCAUAUGGAGAUAUGCGAGUUCUCUGUUUGAUCUAUGUCCUGAUUUCGUGCCCUUGCUGCAAUGGUAGUGUAACGACAUACUCCUACCGGUCGGUUUCCGCCAUCGGAGUUAAGUGAUACACGUAAAUCCAGUUGCAGUGAGGGAAGAUCAAUAUGAUUGGUCAAAUCGAGAUCCAGGGUCAUACGCCAGGCGCAUUAGAUGUGCAAUAGUAGAUGUGAUCUACUGCCGGGGUCCGGAUUUUGCCGUAUGCGCAUGCUUCGGUAAAUCAGCCGUAACUUUUCGGUACGAUCUCGGAUCGGGGCGAUUUCUAUACGAAAAUUGAUCUACAGAAAAAGUUACACAUGAAUUUCAACCGCUUCGCCGUUUUCGGCGAAAUUAGAUUCCCCAAAUUCGGCUUGGAAGAUGGAGUUUCGGGCCUCCGAAGUUUGGAACGUUAGGACGCCUAACUCUCUUUUGCAGGAUGUAUGUAUGUAUCUUGUGAUCAGUAUGGCCCCUUGUGUAUGUGAUGCAUGUGUGUAACUCAUUCGUGACCUGCGUGUCGCGCGUACGGCAACACGGCAGGAGCCAUAUGUGUUGUCACCUUAUUGUAUUUAAUGGUCUGCGUACCAAUCUGUGAUGAUCCAAGCAACUAUGUAAUCUUCAUUACUAGAUUCUUUACUAGCUAUUAGGCGUAAUAGCAUAGUUCUUGGAGGACUCAUCACCAGGAGGAUGGCGCACAUGGAACAUGGAGAUGGAGAUCACCAUGGUGAACAGGUUCUAUGGAGAUGGAGAUCACCAUAUGAAAAACGGGCCAUACUGUGUCACAACUGUGUGAAUGCUAUUCUGUUUAUGUUUUACUUUCUGCAUGCUGUGAUGUUAGAAGUAGAACGAUCCCUCACAAAGUUUAAGUUAGUAUGCCCUCCCAACUAAAACUUGCACCAUCCCAUGUCUUGUACAAUUAGUGGUGGGUCUAUGAAAUUAGGGUGCCACUAGUUUUCCUUGACUAGACGGGUUUGUGUCGGACACUUACACGCAUAAGGGUUGGUUAGCUUAACAAGGUUAUCUUAACGGUUAAGAACCUUGGGGCAUAAAGGUUGGGCGCCGAGACAUAGAGAUGUCACCCAACAACAGGAGUCAUAUGUGAUAUGAUUAGCAAAAGUUGCUUACCGAUCUACCUCGUUUGCUAGCGGUGAUGCUAAAGCUCACUAGUAGACUUCUUAGUUGUGGAUCCUGAAUCACUAAGUUUCAAUAGAGGGAUAUUGAUUUUAGUGGGAGUAGAUUCUGUUAAAAUAGUUUAAUGUAAUUUGCUCUAUCAUGGAUACGUUUGUCUUAGUGUAUUUUGCAUUACUUUUGUUGUAGAUUAAAUGGCACCUAGCAACACCACCACAUCGUUUGCUUUGCGUUCGGUCCUUGAGAAGGACAAGUUGAAUGGAACAAACUACUCGGAUUGGAUCCGCAACCUGAGAAUUGUUCUCAGGGCUGAGAAAAAGGAAGAUGUUCUAGACAACCCACUACCAGAAGAACCUGCUGAGGAUGCACCCGCUGCUGCUAAGAAUGCUUACAAGAAAGCAUGUGAUGCUAACCUCGAAGUAAGCUGCCUUAUGCUUGCUUGCAUGGAACCCGAGCUGCAGAUGCAGUUCGAAACAAACCAUGAGGCGCACGAUAUGAUCGUGGCGCUUAGAGACAUGUUCCAAACACAGGCUAGGACUGAAAGGUUCAAUGUGUCUAAGGCCUUUGUUGAGAGCAAGCUAGCAGAAGGCGCAGCCGUAGGACCACACGUAAUCAAGAUGGUUGGUUACACUCAACGGUUGGAGAAGCUAGGCUUCCCACUGGGCCAAGAGUUGGCCACUGAUUUCAUUCUUUCAUCUCUUCCGGCUAGCUAUGGGAACUUCAUCUCGAACUACCAUAUGCAUGGGACGGAGAAGGGUCUGAAUGAGCUGUGUGGUAUGCUCAAGACAGCAGAGGCUGACAUUAAGAAAAGCGCUAGUACCAGCCAUGUGAUGGCGAUACAGAACAAGCCCAGCUUUAAGAAGAAGGGCAAUUCUUGGAAGAAGAAGGGCAAGGCUGGAACGUCCAAGCCAAACCCACCGCCCAAGGUUAAAGCUGGACCUGGACCUGCUCCAGAUAAAGAGUGCUUUUACUGUCAUGAACUUGGUCACUGGAAGAGAAACUGCAAGCAGUACCUAGCUUCCUUGAAGAACGGCGGAAGUAAGAGUACUUCUACCUCAGGUACGCUUGUUGUUUAUGUUAUAGACAACAUAUUUCUCGCUGAUACAGUUAUUAAUUCUUGGGUAUUUGAUACCGGAUCGGUUGCUCAUAUUUGCAAUUCGAUGCAGGGAAUGAUAAGAAGUAGAAGCGUGGAAAGAGGAGAAGUUGAUUUCCGCGUGGGCAAUAAUGCAAGAGUUGCUGCUUUGACCGUCGGGACGAUGCAACUCCACCUCCCGUCAGGAUUUAUUAUGGAGUUGAAUAAUUGUUAUUUUGUUCCUAGUUUAAGUCGAAACAUUUUAUCUCCUUCAUGUUUGAUGAAGGAUGGUUAUUCAUUUGCGAGUGAAAACAAUGGUUGUGUGAUCUCUAAGAAUAAUAUGUUUAUGGCUUUUGCACCCAUUGUGAAUGGAUUAUUUGUUUUAAAUCUUGAUGGUUCACCUGUCUGUAAUGUAAGUGCUAAAAGGCCUCGGCCUAAUGAUUUGAGUCCUACCUACUUGUGGCAUUGUCGUUUGGGUCAUAUAAGUGAUAAGCGCAUGAAGAAGCUCCAUUCUGAUGGACUUCUAACUUCGUUUGAUUUUGAAUCAUACGAGACAUGUGAGGCUUGCUUGCUAGGCAAGAUGACCAAGACGCCUUUCACAGGAUUUCCUGAGAGAGCAGUAGACUUGUUGGAACUCGUACAUAGUGAUGUAUGCGGACCAAUGAGCACGACGGCUAGAGGAGGAUUCCAAUACUUCAUAACUUUCACUGAUGAUUUUAGUAGAUAUGGCUAUGUCUACUUGAUGAGGCACAAGUCUGAAACCUUUGAAAAGUUCAAGGAAUUUCAGAAUGAAGUUGAAAAUCAGCGUGGCAAGAAAAUUAAGGCCUUACGAUCUGAUCGUGGAGGCGAGUAUUUGAGCCACGAGUUUAGCAAUCAUCUAAAGAGUUGCGGAAUUGUUCCACAACUUACGCCGCCUGGAACACCUCAGAGAAAUGGUGUGUCCGAGCGACGUAAUCGAACUUUGUUAGACAUGGUUCGAUCAAUGAUGAGCCAGUCGGACCUACCGUUGUCAUUUUGGGGAUACGCUCUAGAAACAGCAGCUUUCACACUUAAUAGGGUACCAUCUAAAUCCGUAGUUAAGACACCAUAUGAGAUGUGGACUGGAAAGGUUUCUAGUUUGUCUUUUCUAAAGAUUUGGGGAUGUGAAGUGUUUGUCAAGCGACUUCAGUCGGACAAGAUCACACCCAAGUCGGAUAAGUGCAUUUUUGUGGGAUAUCCAAAGGAAACUUUGGGAUAUUUUUUCUACAACCGAUCAGAAGGCAAAGUGUUUGUCGCUCGGAACGGGGUUUUCCUAGAGAAAGAGUUUCUCAAAGGAGAAAAGAGUGGAAAGACAGUGCAUCUUGAAGAAGUUCAAGAUGAGCCAAUCGGGCAAGAAUCAAUGAGUGAUGCUAAGGUAGCAGAACAAGUUGAGAUACCCAUGGCAAGAGAAGCACCGCCACAACCACGAAGGUCGGCAAGGCUCCGCGAAAUGCGGGAAAUAUUAUUGUUGGACAAUGAUGAGCCUGCGACAUAUGCAGAAGCAAUGAUGGACCCAGACUCCGAAAAAUGGCAGAGUGCCAUGCAAUCCGAAAUAGAGUCCAUGGGAGACAAUCAAGUUUGGAACUUGGUUGACCCGCCUGAUGGUGUUAAAGCCAUAGAGUGCAAGUGGAUCUAUAAGAAGAAAAAGGACAUGGAUGGAAAUGUUCACAUCUAUAAAGCACGACUUGUCGCAAAAGGUUUUCGACAAGUUCAAGGAGUUGACUACGACGAGACCUUCUCGCCCGUAGUGAUGCUUAAGUCCAUUCGGAUUAUUCUAGCUAUAGCUGCAUAUUUCGAUUAUGAGAUAUGGCAGAUGGAUGUCAAGACAGCUUUCCUGAAUGGAAACCUAGCUGAGGACGUGUAUAUGAUACAGCCCGAGGGUUUUGUCGAUCCGAAAAAUGCUGGAAAGGUAUGCAAGCUUCAGAGAUCCAUUUAUGGAUUGAAGCAAGCAUCUAGGAGUUGGAACAUUCGUUUUGAUGAAGUAGUCAAAGGGUUUGACUUCACCAAGAACGAAGAAGAGUCUUGUGUUUACAAGAAGGUUAGUGGGAGCUCUGUAGUAUUUCUAAUCUUAUAUGUGGAUGACAUAUUACUGAUUGGAAAUAACAUUCCUAUGCUUGAGUCCGUAAAGACUUCAUUGAAAAAUAGUUUUUCGAUGAAGGACUUAGGGGAAGCGGCAUAUAUUCUGGGUAUUAAGAUCUAUAGAGAUAGAUCGAGAAGGCUUAUAGGUUUGAGCCAAGAUACUUAUAUUGACAAAGUGUUGAAGCGGUUCAGCAUGGAAGAGGCAAAGAAAGGGUUCUUGCCUAUGUCACAUGGCAUACAUCUCAGCAAGACUCAGUGUCCUUCGACUGCUGAUGAGCGGGAUCGCAUGAGUAGAGUACCAUAUGCCUCGGCUAUUGGAUCUAUCAUGUAUGCAAUGAUAAGUACUCGCCCAGAUGUUUCAUAUGCGCUAAGUAUGACAAGCAGACACCAAUCUGAUCCAGGUGAGAGUCACUGGACAGCGGUGAAAAACAUUCUUAAGUACUUGAGAAGGACUAAAGAUAUGUUCCUCGUCUAUGGAGGUCAGGAGGAGCUCGUUGUAACAGGUUACACCGAUGCUAGUUUCCAAACCGACAGAGACGAUUCAAAGUCACAAUCAGGAUUUGUGUUCACGCUAAAUGGUGGUGCUGUUAGUUGGAAGAGUUCCAAGCAGGAGACGGUGGCCGAUUCUACAACAGAAGCCGAGUACAUCGCGGCUUCGGAAGCCGCGAAGGAAGGUGUUUGGAUAAGGAAUUUCCUCAUUGAGCUUGGUGUGUUCCCGAAUGCGUCCAGCCCAUUGAAUCUCUACUGUGAUAAUAAUGGGGCAAUUGCGCAAGCAAAGGAGCCAAGGAACCACCAGAAGAACAAACACGUAAUGCGGCGAUUUCAUCUCAUUCGAGACUUCGUUAACCGGGGUGAGAUCAAGAUAUGCAAAAUACACACGGAUCUGAACAUUUCUGAUCCGUUGACAAAACCACUCCCGCAGGCUAAGCAUGAUGCGCAUGUAAGAGCUAUGGGUAUUAGGUACCUUCUAGAUUGACUCUAGUGCAAGUGGGAGACUGUUGGAGGUAUGCCCUAGAGGCAAUCAUAGAGAUGAUGAUAUUCCAUUUGUAUCCAUGAUUUGUAUAUUGUGUUCAUUGAAUAUCCAUUAAAGGCUACUUGAAUUGAUUUGCAAUUAUGUGAAUUGUAUGUGAAACUCUUUACUUGUAUGGUUAUUCUAAAGUUGUCCCUAGUCAGAGUUCAUGUGAGGACACACAUGAAUAUUAGACUAGCACAUGUAUUAGUUGAUGACUAUGUUUCACAAGUCAUGGACAUGGAGAUGUUGAACUAAAAAUGUGGACAUAUGUGGAGACAUGUGUUAGGACUGACCCAACACGAGAAGUAGUUCUCUCUUUAAACAACAUAUACGCUUUGUCCUUAGACCUGAGAUUGUCGCAUGUAUUCUAGAUGUGGAUUGACCUACUUAGGGGCUAUCAAACGCUACGCCGUAACAGGGUAGUUAUAAAGGUAGCUUUCGGGUUUGUCAAGAAGCAUGCUAUGAGACAUGGUCAAUCAAGAUGGGAUUUGCCCCUCUCUGAUUGAGAGUGAUAUCUCUGGGCCCCUCGAGUGAUCGGAUCGGAAAAUGCAUGGCCAUGCUACGUACGGUUAAGAGUUAACCUACAAAGGGAUUCCGAAUCACAGGAUCGAGAAAGAGCGGUCGGCUUGAAGCUAGACCAAAUAUCGUGAG